CUAGCCUGCCACCUGUUUUUGUAAAGUUUUAUUGGAACACAGACACACUUGUUUUUUCUUGCAAUCUAUGGUUGCUUUUGCACUAAAACCACAGAGCUGAGUAGUUGCAAAAAACUUUAUGGCCCCACCCACUGCCUGAAGUAAAUAUUGGGUUCACAGCUUUUUACUCACCUCUGCUCUAUUGGGAAUCCAAGUUUGCUGGGUGAUACCAGCUUGGAUAUAAAAUCCUUAAAGUCCAUACAGCUGUUAACAAAAAAUGCCUUCUAAAAAGGCUGAUAUCUUUCCUCUUUGUCUAAAGAGCUAUAACAAGAAGUACAAGGAACGUUUAUGUGAUUUCAAUCUAUGGGUUCCCACUUGAAAGGUCAACAACCUUCUAGAACAGAAACGCAGAUCAGAUUCACGACAAACAGCAGAAAGGUAACAAUAGCAACUGUACAAUAGCACCAGCAUUCAGUAACCAAACACUUUUCUGAUCAAAACGAUCAUCUCCAAAGAGACUAAUUCUAUCCUGGGUCUCUGUCAUCAUUUUAAUCUUUUCUUCUUACAAUAGAGAUUCAGCAGUACACCAUCACCUACCUGAUGUAAAACUUAAACGGAGUCAGAUUUGCCCAAACUACCACCAUUCACAAAAUAAACUAGGUACCUCUAUUUCACAAGUGAAAUAGUCCCUUCUACACAACCUAUAAAAUCUUACAUCCUUUUUUCUUAGUUUACCAGGAACAAUGGAUCUACUUAAUCUGUUUCAAUUCCAGAGAUGUUCAGCUUGAUGAGGGCACACAAGACUUUAUAUUUAAAAAGAGUAUUUGAAGGAAAGAUGCCAAAAGUAGAAACCAAGCAACUUUGGUUCAGCAAAAGGUCACAGACCACACAUCACUGAUCUCCAGGAUAAAACAGUUGUUUCAACAAAUAACUUGAAAGAAGAAAGAUGGAAGAGGAGAAAAAGCAAAGACUGAGAGACUUGAGGUGGUCGACAAUAUCGGGACUUUACUUGGCUCCUGAUUAGAAUAUGCUGGAAAAGCUGAGAUGCUACUUGAGUUGCAAAGACACUUGCAAAUUAAGAGUGGCCCAACCUUCGUAAAAAAUGUACCCCCUUGCCAGUGUCGCAGACCAAAGGUACUAGGAUAAAACGUCAGUUGGAAGACGGUUUUUUCUCCGAAGUGGUGGCUGGGGUUGAGGCACACUACUGGGCCGGCAGAGUUUGCGUCCUGCUCCCACAGAAGUCACCUCAGUACUCCAGGACGCACGACACCCUCCCCAUGCCCGAAACACUGGGUGCGGCUCCAGAAGGCGCCUCGCAGCGCUGGCUGCAGGAAUCCAAAGUAGCUCAGUGCACAGACUUUCAACUCCAGCCUGGGGUUACUCAGCAAUUCUCUUCUAUAAACACCUCCCCCAAAAGACUCAGCAUCCCCAGUACCUCCCCAACUUCCCCGAGGCGCAGAGAUCAGCAAGAGCCCCGCCCCUCGACCCAGGGGACGGGAUCCUGUAAGUCUCACCUGCCUAUCUCCAUCCCAGGCCUCGGGCACGAGGGUGGUUGUACUAUCCUGGUUAUGGUAGCUCCACUCGAGCAAGCUUUAUUUUAACAUAUAAGCUAUUCGUUUAGUGG
Molecule: long non-coding RNA, 1603 nt
Filed under: Homo sapiens (human)
Lineage: Eukaryota; Metazoa; Chordata; Mammalia; Primates; Hominidae
Description: HSALNT0268851
Source: RNAcentral